AGUGAACGCUGGCGGUAGGCCUAACACAUGCCAGUCGAACGGCAGCACAGUAAGAGCUUGCUCUUACGGGUGGCGAGUGGCGGACGGGUGAGGAAUACAUCGGAAUCUACUUUUUCGUGGGUGAUAACGUAGGGAAACUUACGCUAAUACCGCAUACGACCUACGGGUGAAAGCAGGGGAUCUUCGGACCUUGCGCGAUUGAAUGAGCCGAUGUCGGAUUAGCUAGUUGGCGGGGUAAAGGCCCACCAAGGCGACGAUCCGUAGCUGGUCUGAGAGGAUGAUCAGCCACACUGGAACUGAGACACGGUCCAGACUCCUACGGGAGGCAGCAGUGGGGAAUAUUGGACAAUGGGCGCAAGCCUGAUCCAGCCAUACCGCGUGGGUGAAGAAGGCCUUCGGGUUGUAAAGCCCUUUUGUUGGGAAAGAAAAGCAGCAGGUUAAUACCCCGCUGUUCUGACGGUACCCAAAGAAUAAGCACCGGCUAACUUCGUG
RNAcentral lists this ribosomal RNA (492 nucleotides) under uncultured bacterium. RNAcentral describes it as "partial 16S ribosomal RNA". It matches the Rfam family "Bacterial small subunit ribosomal RNA", at positions 29 to 507 of the family's 1533-position model. The record is from RNAcentral.